Molecule: ribosomal RNA, 908 nt
Filed under: Sphaeroforma tapetis
Lineage: Eukaryota; Ichthyosporea; Ichthyophonida
Description: eukaryotic LSU rRNA
Rfam family: 5.8S ribosomal RNA (bases 332-485)
Source: RNAcentral
GUCGUAACAAGGUUUCCGUAGGUGAACCUGCGGAAGGAUCAUUACCAAACGAUUCUUUGGAUUCAAUUAGUAGCUUUUUGAUGCGGUGCAAGCCAAAUCGAGAAGUAGUUGGUUGACCGUAAUUAGGAGAAAUCCUUCCAGCUGCACUGAUUGGAUUCAGAGUUCAAUCAACCCCCUGUGAACUAUAAACCCGUACUGUUAUUGUCUUUUGGGUGGUACUGAAGCUGUUUACAGUCGAUGUGCUGCCCAGAAGCGAUAGCGCUUUAUUGAACUACUAAACGAAUUAUAUCUAUACGCAAAAUCUCUUUAUUAUUUAAUAAUAAUAAUUGACAACUUUUAACAGUGGAUCUCUAGGCUCGUGGAUCGAUGAAGAGCGCAGCAAAAUGCGAUACGUAAUGUGAAUUGCAGAAUUCAGUGAAUCAUCGAAUCCUUGAACGCAAAUUGCGGUGUUGGGUAUUCCCGGCACCAUGCUUGGUUGAGUGUCACUUAAUCUAACAAAAUUCAAUUUAUUUUGGGUAUUGUUACAGAUGAGGUUACGAGGCGUCUAUUUAAUAGAACUUCGAACCUUUAAUGACUAGCAAGACGCAUGACUUUUGAAGUUCAUUGCAGCUACUUGUGUGGCAAUAUUGUUUCGACAAUUUAAAGCGCAUGUUGGCUCAGUGGAUGUUAAUUCUUUAAUCAUUGCUGUUCUUACAAAUCUGACUCUAUAUGUCUUCGGACUUAGAAUUUUGACCUCAGCUCAAGCAAGACUACCCGCUGAAUUUAAGCAUAUUAAUAAGCGGAGGAAAAGAAACUAACUAGGAUUCCCUCAGUAACGGCGAGUGAAGCGGGAAAAGCUCAAAUUUUAAAGCUACGUGUUUUGCACGUCGCGUUGUAAAUUCAAGAAACGUUUUCUCUUAUAGGUCUGA